RNAcentral lists this long non-coding RNA (509 nucleotides) under Homo sapiens (human). RNAcentral's name for it is "non-protein coding lnc-MAP3K9-3:17". Lineage: Eukaryota; Metazoa; Chordata; Mammalia; Primates; Hominidae. The record is from RNAcentral.
AGCGAUUUAAGAGCCUCGGAAAUUUCCUUUAAGGUCAGGAGAGAAGCUGGUAACAGAUGGGGCGAAGGAGGAAAAGUUCUUUUUGCGGCACCCUCACGCCUUCCCAGCCCUUUCGCGGUUUACUCGCUCCCCGGAAAGCAGGGCAUUCAAGCAGCCCUGAGGAGAGGUCCACAUGGUGAGCCACUGAGGGCCUUGCCAAGAGCCAGCACCAACGGUCCAGGUUUGGAGUGUACCACCUUGGAAGUGAAUCUUCCAGUCCAGUCAAGCCUUCAGAUGACUUCAGAACCGUCCAUGUAAGCCACUCUUGGAUUCCUGACCCACAGAAACUGUUGGAGUAAGUGAUGUUUCUGAAGCACCAAUGAAAAUGAAGUCCUGAAGUCCUGUGCUCAAUAUGAAAUGUUGGAAGUUAGAAGAAAAAAACAAAACUUGGAUCCAAUCUCAAGGCACUUUUUGUUUAAUGGGAAGAAGUGGAUUAUUUUAAAAGCUACAAAUAAAGUUACAUAAAAGUA